RNAcentral lists this long non-coding RNA (207 nucleotides) under Elaeis guineensis (African oil palm). RNAcentral describes it as "long non-coding RNA (EGUI_LNC061528)". The record is from RNAcentral. Lineage: Eukaryota; Viridiplantae; Streptophyta; Magnoliopsida; Arecales; Arecaceae.
GCGUUUGACGUGCAUGCAAAGUAGAGGGUCUGCACAUCCAAAUCUUUGCAAAAGUUUAUAUCAGAUAAUUUAAGAUUUAAUCUUUGAUUCUAUUGCUAAUUAGAUAAGAAUUUGAUUCUUAAUCAUGUAGUUAAAUAAAAAAAAAAUUUAGAUGCAACCUGGGCCUUUCGAGGAGAAACAGUUUCUUUCCCUUCAAUUGGUAUCAGA